RNAcentral lists this long non-coding RNA (899 nucleotides) under Vigna radiata. RNAcentral describes it as "long non-coding RNA (VRAD_LNC014461)". The record is from RNAcentral. Lineage: Eukaryota; Viridiplantae; Streptophyta; Magnoliopsida; Fabales; Fabaceae.
AUUGACUAUUCUAGUACAAAAACAUGUGAUAAUCGAUUAUAGCUUGACAAUAAUCAAUUAUACUGGUAAAAAUUACAAGGUUUUAAUAUUUUCCUACUACAUUCAAAAUCUACAAGUUGCUUUUUAAAUAUUUUCCUACUACAUCCAAAAUCUACACGUUGCAGCAUCAUCAAAACUCAUCUUCAGGUUUUACCAAUACUCCUUAUUUGUAACAAUCUCCCCCAUUUUGAUGAUGAUCAAAAAUUCACUUUUAAAAGCAACUAUGGUUUACCUGCAACACAUACAAGCUAAAAGACAACCACAAAGUUAGCAGUACAUGUACAAUUGUAAAAUAUUUCUCCCCUUAAUUCUCCCCUUUAUAAUUCUUCUCCCCCUUUUUUAUCAUAAGCAAAAAGAUUAAAUUAAAAAGCUCCCCCUAAAUAUGAUCUCCCCCUCAAUUAAACAAUGUAUGCAUAAAACAAGAGAUCAUGUUAUUCAUAAAAGAAAGGAUUACAUAAACACCAUAAGGAGAAACAUAAAAGACAGAAAUAUAACAUAGAGAUAAGAAUAACAACCAAACAACAAAGCACUCAGACAAAAAAAUCCUAAUUCUAAAAUUCAGGACUUGGGAUCUCUUGGGUGAUUGAAGGUUUAGGUGAUUUUCAAUAUUUCCUAGAUGAACAUCAAUGUCAAGAAAUUAAUCUUCAUGAGCUUGCUGCCACUCGUAAAUUUGAUCAAAUUUAGCUUUCUGGACAAGACUCAUACCCUCCAAUUAUCACAAAAGUUCUCAAUCAAAAGUUUCACCCCCUCUUUACAUAAAAAAACAUCUAAACUUAAAAGAAUUUAAGUUCUUUUANUUUAUUAAAAUUACUCCCCCUAAAUGGAAUAAUCCCCUUUGAUGAAACAGACCAAAAAAAAAA